This 282-nucleotide ribosomal RNA is filed under the name Triticum aestivum (bread wheat). RNAcentral's name for it is "partial small subunit ribosomal RNA". The record is from RNAcentral. Lineage: Eukaryota; Viridiplantae; Streptophyta; Magnoliopsida; Poales; Poaceae.
AUGCGGUUCUGUGUUUUGACAUUUGAACUCCUUUGGCACACUGUAGAGUUCGGGCAAAUCUUCAGUGCUGGAGAGCGUUGUUGGAAAGGAUUUCCUGCCCAGGGUUUAGGCAUUGUCACCCAUCGCCCGCUGGUUCUGCAACUCCAUAGGAUUGAUGAAGACAGGGAGUAUGCAGAGUUCAUGCAUGUCCCCAGGAAGAGAUUCAUCGAUUUCGGUAAUUCCUCUAUUCUUUGUCUUAUUUCCAUGUGCUAUGCUGAUGAUGAUAUUAAGAUUGAUGCAUGA